GACGAACGCUGGCGGCGUGCCUAAUACAUGCAAGUAGAACGCUGAAGGAGGAGCUUGCUCUUCUGGAUGAGUUGCGAACGGGUGAGUAACGCGUAGGUAACCUGCCUGGUAGCGGGGGAUAACUAUUGGAAACGAUAGCUAAUACCGCAUAACAGUAGAUGUUGCAUGACAUUUGCUUAAAAGGUGCAGUUGCAUCACUACCAGAUGGACCUGCGUUGUAUUAGCUAGUUGGUGGGGUAACGGCUCACCAAGGCGACGAUACAUAGCCGACCUGAGAGGGUGAUCGGCCACACUGGGACUGAGACACGGCCCAGACUCCUACGGGAGGCAGCAGUAGGGAAUCUUCGGCAAUGGACGGAAGUCUGACCGAGCAACGCCGCGUGAGUGAAGAAGGUUUCCGGAUCGUAAAGCUCUGUUGUAAGAGAAGAACGAGUGUGAGAGUGGAAAGUUCACACUGUGACGGUAUCUUACCAGAAAGGGACGGCUAACUACGUG
This 495-nucleotide ribosomal RNA is filed under the name uncultured bacterium. RNAcentral's name for it is "partial 16S ribosomal RNA". It matches the Rfam family "Bacterial small subunit ribosomal RNA", at positions 28 to 507 of the family's 1533-position model. The record is from RNAcentral.